Long non-coding RNA from Polyodon spathula (Mississippi paddlefish), 1423 nucleotides. RefSeq lists it as uncharacterized. The record is from RefSeq and is a predicted model, not a curated record. NCBI's taxonomy places the organism in Eukaryota, Metazoa, Chordata, Actinopteri, Acipenseriformes, Polyodontidae. The transcript is spliced from 4 exons.
AGGUGUCUGUAAGCCUGCCGCAUAUACUGUAAGCAGCGGCCAAUCCCUCAGUGACUCUCCUCACAUGAUACUCAUUUUCAAACAUGGUACUGCUCUUUGAAGAGGCAGAGCUAUAGGAAGCCUACAAAGAGAUAGAUGAACCCCGACUGGAGGGAGGAUGGGAGCUUUUCACUGACAUCCCGUGCAUUCAAAUCUACCGGCUACACAGCAAGAGAACAGGACUCUACAAAUACAAAAAUCAUUGGUGGUCUUGCCACCUGUACCCCAGAGCUCUGUGCAGAUGUGUAUAUCUAUUAAAACACAGCAAAGCAUGGGAUGGGGAUGUCAAAGUUUUCAUGAACUGCUUUGAUACUCCGGGUGGAUCGAUCCCCUCAUGGCUUAUAAACUGGGCUGCCAAGAGCGGAGUGCCUUCGAUCAUCACAGACCUACAGAAAGCCUGCAACAACUAUGCCAGCUACUGCAGGCAAGUGAAGACAUGACUUCAAAGUGGCAGGAGGGGCUGGGAAAGUUUUCCUUUAGACAAACAACCUGUGUGAAAAUCGUUUCAUUGCUUUACAACGCAGAGUGGGAUGGAAAUAAUUAACAGUCUAAAACCAGCAACCAACAACUUGCGUUUUAUAACCCUUCAAUUUAUUUAUUCUUCUCAGAAAAUUCGCCUUUAUACUUGCUUUGAAACAGAUUCCGCUGCCUGGUUUUUCCAUUCCUUAUCUUUCAGUGGCAUCUUUUGUAAUGCAAGACCCGGAUUAACCCUUUCAGUCCUGAAUUAUUUUUGUUGAAUUGAGGAAUGGGAAAUAAAAAAAAUAAAUAACUCCUUUUAGUGAGGUAUACACGAGAACAGGACAAAUCAUAUAUGUAUUUUUGACCUAUGUUAUGGUGAAUGGAACUUUAAAGUCGCAUCAUUUGCCUUUUAUCACUGUGAUACAGAAUCCUUGGUCACUUCUCAAGGCUUCUUUACUUCUCACAGGCUGUUGUAUUCUGGUUUGUCUUGUUGUUGCUAUAGAGAGAUCUUUUACAUGGGUCAAACUUGGAGUGGGGUCUUGACUCUACCUAGGAGUCCUGUGAGGUUCAAACGUGAUUUCCGACAGCAUAUGUUAACAUAAGGGUUAACGCAGAGAUAUGCUGUGUGGAUUAAUAUAAACUUUGAGCAGUUUGGUAUGGGUAUGAAAGAUCAGUUAUCUUAACUAAUAUUUUUUUCACAGUUAUUCACGACUUCCUGGAAAUUUACCCAUUGCUGCGUAAUAUGUAUUUCCCUGCGAAAAUGAUAAUUUUCGAUAGAAUAGUAUAAGUACUAAUGCAUUCUUCAUGUUUCGAUUCACUUUGCAUUUUCACAUCCUGGUGAGGCAUACAGCUGUUGGAAAACAUGGAUCGAGAAUUGAUUGGGAGGUGGACCAUCUAUACAGAAGGGUAUUUAAUGUCAUGCAAA